GCUUCCAAGAAAAGCCCUAUACCCGUUAAGGCAUCAUGGCCUGUACCCGAAACCGACACAGGUGGGGUGGUAGAGAAUACCGAGGGGCGCGAGGUAACUCUCUCUGAGGAACUCGGCAAAAUGGCCCCGUAACUUCGGGAGAAGGGGUGCCAGCGAGAGCUGGUCGCAGUGAAGAGGCCCAGGCGACUGUUUACCAAAAACACAGGUCUCCGCUAAGUCGCAAGACGAUGUAUGGGGGCUGACGCCUGCCCAGUGCCGGAAGGUUAAGGAAGCUGGUCAGCGCAAGCGAAGCUGGCGACUGAAGCCCCGGUGAACGGCGGCCGUAACUAUAACGGUCCUAAGGUAGCGAAAUUCCUUGUCGGGUAAGUUCCGACCCGCACGAAAGGCGUAACGAUCUGGGCGCUGUCUCGGAGAGAGGCUCGGCGAAAUAGAAUUGUCUGUGAAGAUGCCGACUACGUGCACCCGGACAGAAAGACCCUAUGAAGCUUUACUGUAGCUUGGUAUUGUGCUCGGGCUCGGAAUGCGCAGGAUAGGUGGGAGGCUUGGAUCCAUUGCUUGCGGGUGAUGGUGAGCCACUGGUGAGAUACCACUCUUUUCGAGCUUAAGUUCUAACCCUUACCCGUUAUCCGGGGAGGGAACAGUAUCAGGUGGGCAGUUUGACUGGGGCGGUCGCCUCCUAAAAGGUAACGGAGGCGCGCAAAGGUUCCCUCAGGCUGGUUGGAAAUCAGCCGACGAGUGCAAAGGCAGAAGGGAGCUUGACUGUGAGACCUACAAGUCGAACAGGGACGAAAGUCGGCCUUAGUGAUCCGACGGUUCUGCGUGGAAGGGCCGUCGCUCAACGGAUAAAAGUUACUCUAGGAUAACAGGCUGAUCUCCCCCAAGAGUUCACAUCGACGGGGAGGUUUGGCACCUCGAUGUCGGCUCAUCGCAACCUGGGGCUGAAGUCGGUCCCAGGGGUUGGGCUGUUCGCCCAUUAAAGCGGUACGCGAGCUGGGUUCAGAACGUCGUGAGACAGUUCGGUCCAUAUCCGGUGCACGCGCAGGAAUAUUGAGAGGAUUUCUCCCUAGUACGAGAGGACCGGGAGGAACGCACCUCUGGUGUGCCAGUUAUCGUGCCAACGGUAAACGCUGGGUAGCCAUGUGCGGAGAGGAUAACCGCUGAAAGCAUCUAAGUGGGAAGCCCACCUCAAGAUGAGUAUUCCCAUGGCAUAAGCCAGUAAGGUCACGGGAAGAUUACCCGUUGAUAGGCCCUACGUGGAAGCGCAGUAAUGUGUGAAGCGGAGGGGUACUAAUAGACCGAGGGCUUG
This 1306-nucleotide ribosomal RNA is filed under the name metagenome. RNAcentral's name for it is "bacterial LSU rRNA". It matches the Rfam family "Bacterial large subunit ribosomal RNA", at positions 1604 to 2925 of the family's 2925-position model. The record is from RNAcentral.